Molecule: ribosomal RNA, 260 nt
Filed under: uncultured archaeon
Lineage: Archaea
Description: partial 16S ribosomal RNA
Rfam family: Archaeal small subunit ribosomal RNA
Source: RNAcentral
CAGCCGUAAACUAUGCGCGUUAGGUGUAUCGGUGACCACGAGUUACCGAGGUGCCGAAGGGAAACCGUGAAACGUGCCGCCUGGGAAGUACGGUCGCAAGGCUGAAACUUAAAGGAAUUGGCGGGGAGCACCGCAACGGGAGGAGCGUGCGGUUUAAUUGGAUUCAACACCGUAAAACUCACCAGGGAAGACUGUUACAUGAAGGCCGAGAUGAAGACUCUGCUAGAUUUUCAGAGAGGAGGUGCAUGGCGUCAGUGACU